UUCAAACCAUUCUGAAAUUUCAAUUAGGUUUCAAUUCCUAGGUAGAUCUUGAAUUGGAACUGCACACCUCUAAUCAACUUAGUGUAAAUUGUCAAGCCAAGUCCUAGAUUAAUAUUUUUAGUUCUGUCCUAGAUAAACAAUAUAGCAUGAACAAGUAGUCAUGUGGUCAAGUAUCUACCUCGUAGUACAAGAAGUUAAGGGUGCAAACCCGACACCCCUCCCUUCUAAAUAUUUCAGGUAUACCAACAUUGGUGUUUCAAUUACUGGGUAUGUAUUUCACACAGAAAUAAGUACAUUGUCAUCAGCAAGUUAAAAAGAGGAAGAACAAGAUAUGACAUCUAUGUUUAUUUUUUCCAUAAGUUAGAAAAUAUAAAGAAUGUCUCACUUGAUCAAUUGCUGGGUUGUUCAGAAGUCCUGCCUUUUUAGCAGUUCUUGCUCAUUUAGAUUUCUUUACUUAAGCAAUGUAAAGAAAUAUAAAUGAGGUCAUUUCAGGGAACAACACACCACUAAAAAUUAUGAGGUGACUUUUCUUUCUUACUCUUUUCUUCUUUUGGGACUUGUUAAGUUGUCAUCAUUAUUCUCGUCAAUGAUUCUCUUUUUGGAUUUUAAGUUGCCAUUCUUUGAUGCUUGUUGCUGCUUCUGAGAACUUUCAGGUUUACUGGGGGGUUUAGUGGAUUUAAUUGGAGUUCCCAUUCGUUGCAUCUUUUGCUUUCUCUGUUUCUUCUCAUAUGCCUUUUUGGCUCUCUCAGGGGAUAGCAAGCCAUGUUCCAUCAUCCAAAAUUCUGCCAUCUCACUAGUUGGUAUCUGUUUGGACAAUGACUCGUAGAAUAUCCUAAGGGGUUCUCGCUCUUCUGGAGGAUCAUAUUUCUGGCCAGGCAAGGAGUAUACCUUCUUCUCUCUCACUCUAGUUUUUGUGGUGGUGAUCUUUGAUGAACUGGAUGUUGUUUUUGAUUUUACCUCUGUUUUAGUGACAAUUGAUACAGAUUUAUGUUUAAGAUCAGCAGUAGGCUGUUUACUAGAGCUCUCAAUUUUCUUAUUCUUCAUAGAAGAAUCAAAAUUUUCCUUUGAAGAACCGUCUUGAUGACUGCUGGGCUUGACCUUGGCCACACCCCGCUUGGUCUCCGUGGCCAUGUCCCUCUGCUCCCCAAAUCUCCUUAUCAAUCAAUCAAUCAAAUUCUUUUGUUAUUGAUCUCAUCAAUCAGUCCUUUUAUUUUCUUCUUCCUCUUCUUCUUUGCUUGGAAGAAACUGGGAAGGUAAAC
RNAcentral lists this unclassified non-coding RNA (1259 nucleotides) under Hevea brasiliensis (rubber tree). The record is from RNAcentral. Lineage: Eukaryota; Viridiplantae; Streptophyta; Magnoliopsida; Malpighiales; Euphorbiaceae.